CGCUCCAGGAACGCUGGCUGAGGAAUUCUGGGGGUUGAAGUCCAGGAGUCAAAAGGCCCAAGUCUGAAGACCCCUGUUCACAAGGAGCCAGAACGAGAGAUAUGUGCUUCCUAGAGGGGACCUGGUCCUGCGCCCUGCAUGGAAGUCGGGGAGGCUCCGCUGAAAGGUGGGGCUCUCCUUGGUCUCUGGGUCCAGCGCAGGACGGACGGAUCGCGGGGCUGAACGUCGGAAGGCGGCUGGUAGCUCCUUUUCCAGCUGACACCUUUCCUUGCAAAAGGAGAGUUUCGUGAGUGCAGCCGCCUCCGUCAGAUGCAGAGACUGAAGCAGGAUGGAAAUCCGGGAGGGAAAGGCAGGUUGGAUCCGGGGCUGCGAACGAGGGGAAGCCUCGCCCUCUGCCUCGCCCUGGAUUUCGGCAGGAUGGCUGGAGCAAAGAUCUUCCUUCCCUCUAUGCUCCCUUCCUGGAGACGGGACUUGCUCUCUAGGCGUAAAGCGUUUCUCCCGGCGCUUCGUUUGCCGGGUUGCUAGAGCAGAAGGGAGCGUAGAGGACUGAGGGAUUCGGUUUAACGGAGCUGGCGCCGAUCCCUUCGUUUUUCAUGACUCUGUUUAAAUGCUCCUCCUCUGGAAACUGUGAAAGAUUAUCUUGCAGAAAAUCUUAUCUAUCUGAUCAAUCAAUACGCAUUUCAUGGUCCGUAAUCAAUUUAUCAAGAAUUUGUAUAACUAAAGAUCGAGAAUAAGCUAAAAAAAAUUCUCAAUUUCAUAUAACUAAAUGGAUUUCUCAGAGUAGCUAUUUGCAUAUGUUUUACACAGGAAUUAUACUUUUCUCCUUUACGUAUUGAAUUUAUAAAAUAAAACUAUUUAUUAUUUAUCAUCCAAAGCUCUUUGAAAAUCAGAUCGAUGUUUUUAGUUUAGGUCUUCUGCUAAAAGACAAGAACUAAACUCAGAAUAAAGAGUAGCACAGUUGAUUCUUAAAGGCCCCCACCCCCAAAUUUGAGCAUUUGUUACAGGAGGCUUUUCCCUUUCUGGUCAAAUAUUAUUGGUAGUUUGUAAAUGGGGAAGAAGAACCACUCCAAUCCUAACUCAACUCUGGGGCUUCCAGUGGGCUUUGGGUGAGAGUGGCUGAGAAGAGGGAAGCCCCCUGCUAAAUCAUGCAUUUGUACUUUGAUUAUUCCUCUGCCAUGAAUUUUUAUUUUUAUUAUUUCAGAGGUAUUGUAAUUUUGUAGCUAUAUAUAUUGGUAUUUUUUGUUGCUUUUAACUUUUUAAGUCGCCCAGAGUUCUUUUGGUGAGACAGGUGCAAAGUAAAAAACAAUAAUUAAUAAUUUAAUCACCUCAUUGGAGAAUGGGUUAGACAGGAGUUUCUAUGCAAAAAUACCCUUGUCACCUAAAUCUGUGUUCAUGUGUUUUUGCUCCAAUGACCUCCUAUGUGCUUAAUUUCACCCAUCCAAUCUAAACAAGCUGCAAAAUAUAAUUUCAAAUUUGGUUAACUUAAACUUCCUCUUUCUUUAGCAUCUAGUGACAUGUUGUAUUUAACUCCAGGUUUUUUACCCUAAGGUAUCAAUUUUGAUAUGCUUUUCUUCUAUUCUUUAAAUGCUACAUGACUUGUGAGAACAAGUUUGGUCUGGGACAAAAAUAAUAUUCAAAGAUAAAUGUCAUCUUCAUCAUAGAAAUUCUCCCCAGCAAUUGUAGUCUUUCUCUCUUUAACAUAUCUUUAUCAAACUUCAACCCAUAGCUUAACAUAAUUUUUCAAAACAAUGUACAGUUCAUAUUUGUCAGAUUAACACCCAAGUAUUUUACUUUUUAUUCAAUCUCAGCACUAGUGAUUCAUUUAUAGGAGGGUCUGAGCUGGGCCUUAGAAGCGCACUCCACCAAAUACCAGCUGUGGAAGGAGUUGCCAGUAUUAGUGGUGUUGGGGAAACUUUAAGAGGACUGCAGAAGAAUGCAGUGAAAGUUCUGCAUCAAUAAGAGGACUGGGGCUUCACUAUAGUUGGGGAGGGGGCGAAGAGAGAAAACUUUCUGGGAGACAUGCCUGCUGCAAUGGGAAUUGGGGGAGGGGCAAUUUGGCUGCUACUGUGUGUGGGGACUCCCUACUCAGUCCCAUUUUGGUGCAGAAAUACCAGCCUUUCUUCACCUGCAUUCCCCUAGUACCCAUUUCUGCUCCUUUCUUUGUGUCGUUGUGUGUGUGUGUGUAUGUGUACCCAUUGUUAUCCUCUUCCAGAAGGGACUAUAAAGAUACAAAGGGGCCUUCCUCAAGGUGGCAUCUUAGAUUUGCUUUUGGAGACGUCAAGAACAUGCAGACCUCUUACGUAGGAAUAGCGAUGGUAAGUCUCCUGCGGAUAUCCUUUUCCCACUGGCUGUUCAGUGAUCGUUUCUGCAUCCAGAUUAUUCCAGCUGGAAAAAACAAACACAGAACACUCUGGAAUGUUCUUGAGCUUUGCAGCUGGAGGUGGUUGCAGCUUAUGGUCCUUUGCAGCACGACAGAAGAUAAAAUGCAUGCUGAAGAAGGCUCGGAUCCUUGGAAUCCAAAGUUCAUUUGGCCAGCCUAGUCCAGGAGUCGCCCCUAGAAACACCUUUUGAGGGGAGGAUAUUUUCAACCAGUCUCUUUGAGAGCAAAAGAGAAGCAUGCUGAAUAGCCCAGGGUUCAAUAGGCUGGCUGAAAAAGAUUAGUUUGGAUUUUGGAGUCGAGCUUUUUCAGUCAGGCCCCAGAAACCAGUUCUUCCUUACAGGCUUCUUCAUUGACUUUCAGUAAAGUCUGCAGAAAAGUUGCAAAUAUUAAUCACAUGAUUAUAGGGCACUUGGCAACAGGCGUGAAAGUACUGGAGACACCAUAAGUAUAUUCAAACUGUGAUAUGAUAAUGCCUUCUACUGUAAAAUGUGGCUUUCUGACAUUUCUACUCGAUGUAACCAAAACUCUUAAGGGGUCUUGUUCAGUUUCUAGCAUUAACCUGGUUUUCAAAUAUACAAA
This is a long non-coding RNA of Crotalus tigris (Tiger rattlesnake), 2959 nucleotides long. RefSeq lists it as uncharacterized. The transcript is spliced from 2 exons. Lineage: Eukaryota; Metazoa; Chordata; Lepidosauria; Squamata; Viperidae. The record is from RefSeq and is a predicted model, not a curated record.